This 30-nucleotide non-coding RNA is filed under the name Rattus norvegicus (Norway rat). Lineage: Eukaryota; Metazoa; Chordata; Mammalia; Rodentia; Muridae. The record is from RNAcentral.
UACAGUAAAUAGCGUAGACUUUUAAUCUGU